RNAcentral lists this ribosomal RNA (319 nucleotides) under uncultured eukaryote. Its description in RNAcentral is "partial 18S ribosomal RNA". It matches the Rfam family "Eukaryotic small subunit ribosomal RNA", at positions 1470 to 1796 of the family's 1831-position model. The record is from RNAcentral.
CCCUUAGAUUGUCUGGGCGGCACGCGCGCUACAAUGAUGCAUUCAAAAAGUCUUCUGACCUUAGAAGGUUGGGUAUUCUCCAAAGUGCAUCGUGAUGGGAAUAGUUUAUUGCAAUUUUUAAUCUUGAACGAGGAAUUCCUAGUAAGUACAGGUCGUCAACUUGUGUUGAUUACGUCCCUGCCCUUUGUACACACCGCCCGUCGCUCCUACUGAUUGAGUGUCUCGGUGAAUUCGUUGAUCUUCUGUCGAUUCAGUUCACUGAUCCGACGGUGGAAAGUUGAAUGAACUUCGUCACUUAGAGGAAGGAGAAAUCGUAACA